CGUGUAGGCGGACUCGCAAGUCGGUUGUGAAAUCCCUGGGCUUAACCUAGGAACUGCAUCCGAAACUGCUUGUCUUGAGUAAUGGAGAGGGUGGCGGAAUUCCCGGUGUAGAGGUGAAAUUCGUAGAUAUCGGGAGGAACAUCAGUGGCGAAGGCGGCCACCUGGACAUUUACUGACGCUGAGACGCGAAAGCGUGGGGAGCAAACA
RNAcentral lists this ribosomal RNA (207 nucleotides) under uncultured bacterium. RNAcentral's name for it is "partial 16S ribosomal RNA". It matches the Rfam family "Bacterial small subunit ribosomal RNA", at positions 568 to 774 of the family's 1533-position model. The record is from RNAcentral.